Molecule: long non-coding RNA, 326 nt
Organism: Formica exsecta
Lineage: Eukaryota; Metazoa; Arthropoda; Insecta; Hymenoptera; Formicidae
Exons: 3
Source: RefSeq, a predicted model, not a curated record
AUGUGCGUGCAUACGCAUAUAUGAUACAUAUCAAGCGGUACGCGGUAGCAUCUCGACGUCAAGAUAUAAUACGCAUAUGAUACGUAUCAAGCGGUACGCGGUAGCAUCGCGACGUCAAGAUAUAAUACGCAUAUGAUACGUAUCAAGCGGUACGCAGUACCAUCGCGACGUCAAGAUAUAAUAACGUUAUAAGAAAAUAUAUUUGGUCCUAUCGAGAUAAAGCGAAAUCAGUCAAUCCUUUCAAGAAGGCCGGUAUACUUUUAGCUGGGAUUGCAUACGGCAUAAGACCGUAUGCAAUCCCAGCUGAAGAACUUUGCUAAACAGCG